RNAcentral lists this ribosomal RNA (500 nucleotides) under Clostridium frigoris. RNAcentral's name for it is "partial 23S ribosomal RNA". It matches the Rfam family "Bacterial large subunit ribosomal RNA", at positions 1 to 504 of the family's 2925-position model. The record is from RNAcentral. Lineage: Bacteria; Bacillati; Bacillota; Clostridia; Eubacteriales; Clostridiaceae.
GGUCAAGCUACAAAGGGCGCAUGGCGAAUGCCUUGGCACUAGGAGCCGAAGAAGGACGCGUUAAGCUGCGAUAAGCUUUGGGUAGGCGCAAAUAGCCUGUGAUCCAAAGAUUUCCGAAUGGGGGAACCCACAUAGUAACAACUAUGUACUGCAUACUGAAUAAAUAGGUAUGCAGAGGUAGACCCGGGGAACUGAAACAUCUAAGUACCCGGAGGAAGAGAAAGAAAUAUCGAUUUCCUAAGUAGCGGCGAGCGAAAGGGAAUGAGCCCAAACCUAAGUCUUUGACUUAGGGGUUGAGGAUAGAUCAUAAAUACUGUAAUUCUUUAAUUGAAGAUAGCUGGAAAGCUGCUCCGCAGAAGGUAAUAGGCCUGUAAAUGAAAAGGAAGAACAGUCAGAUCUAAUCCAGAGUACCACGAGACACGUGAAACCUUGUGGGAAGCUGGGAGGACCACCUCCCAAGGCUAAAUACUACCUAGUGACCGAUAGUGAAGAAGUACCGU